GUCCCUUCGGGUACAUACGAUAAAAUUGAAACGAUAUAGAGAAGAUUAGCAUGGUCCCUGCGCAAGGAUGACACGUACAAAUCGAGAAAUGGUCCAAAUUUUU
RNAcentral lists this small nuclear RNA (103 nucleotides) under Capsella rubella. The record is from RNAcentral. Lineage: Eukaryota; Viridiplantae; Streptophyta; Magnoliopsida; Brassicales; Brassicaceae.